RNAcentral lists this ribosomal RNA (253 nucleotides) under uncultured bacterium. Its description in RNAcentral is "partial 16S ribosomal RNA". It matches the Rfam family "Bacterial small subunit ribosomal RNA", at positions 524 to 776 of the family's 1533-position model. The record is from RNAcentral.
UACGGAAUGUGCAAACGUUAUUCGGAAUCACUGGGCUUAAAGAGUCCGUAGGCGGCAUGUUAGGUGAGGUGUGAAAUCCCACGGCCCAACCGUGGAACUGCGCUUCAAACCGGCGUGCUUGAGGAAGAUAGAGGUGGGCGGAACUGAUGGUGGAGCGGUGAAAUGCGUUGAUAUCAUCAGGAACACCGGAGGCGAAGGCGGCCCACUGGGCCAGUACUGACACUGAGGAGCGAAAGCGUGGGUAGCAAACAGG